AACUGCGAGUGAAGCGGGAAAAGCUCAAAUUUAAAAUCUGGCGGUCUUUUGGCUGUCCGAGUUGUAAUUUAGAGAAGCGUCUUCCGCGCCGGACCGUGCACAAGUCUCCUGGAAUGGAGCGUCAUAGAGGGUGAGAAUCCCGUCUUUGGCAUGGACACCCGGGGCUUCUGUGAUGCGCUCUCGAAGAGUCGAGUUGUUUGGGAAUGCAGCUCAAAAUGGGUGGUGAACUCCAUCUAAAGCUAAAUAUUGGCGAGAGACCGAUAGCGAACAAGUACCGUGAGGGAAAGAUGAAAAGCACUUUGGAAAGAGAGUGAAACAGUACGUGAAAUUGUUGAAAGGGAAACGCUUGAAGUCAGUCGCGUUGACCGAGACUCAGCCUCGCCUCGGCUUGGCGUACUUCUCGGCUUGACGGGCCAGCAUCAAUUUUGUCUCUCGGAUAAUGGCAAGGGAAAGGUGGCACCUUUACCGGUGUGUUAUAGUCUUUUGUCGCAUGCGAGGGAUGGGAUUGAGGAACUCAGCAUGCGCCUCUUGGUGUCGGGGCUUCGGCCC
Molecule: ribosomal RNA, 549 nt
Filed under: Lactifluus curvativus
Lineage: Eukaryota; Fungi; Basidiomycota; Agaricomycetes; Russulales; Russulaceae
Description: partial large subunit ribosomal RNA
Rfam family: Eukaryotic large subunit ribosomal RNA
Source: RNAcentral